Molecule: long non-coding RNA, 220 nt
Filed under: Aquilegia coerulea
Lineage: Eukaryota; Viridiplantae; Streptophyta; Magnoliopsida; Ranunculales; Ranunculaceae
Description: long non-coding RNA (ACOE_LNC000410)
Source: RNAcentral
CCAAACCUUGUUGAGCAAGCAAAUCCAGAACUUCGCACUGCCACAUACCGAAGUUGUUUCUACCAUUAAAUUUCUCGAUGUCAAACUUCAAAGAUGACACUCUUCCAUUCUUACUCGAAGAUGGGUCUGACAUUACUAAUCACUUUCACACACUAAACAAUCACCAACCGAAGGUAAACAAAUCUGAAAUUCACACGGGAAUUUCAACAAAACACCUUCU